GGAAUAUUGCACAAUGGGCGCAAGCCUGAUGCAGCCAUGCCGCGUGUAUGAAGAAGGCCUUCGGGUUGUAAAGUACUUUCAGCGGGGAGGAAGGCGGUGAGGUUAAUAACCUCAUCGAUUGACGUUACCCGCAGAAGAAGCACCGGCUAACUCCGUGCCAGCAGCCGCGGUAAUACGGAGGGUGCAAGCGUUAAUCGGAAUUACUGGGCGUAAAGCGCACGCAGGCGGUCUGUCAAGUCGGAGGUGAAAUCCCCGGGCUCAACCUGGGAACUGCAUUCGAAACUGGCAGGCUAGAGUCUUGUAGAGGGGGGUAGAAUUCCAGGUGUAGCGGUGAAAUGCGUAGAGAUAUGGAGGAAUACCGGUGGCGAAGGCGGCCCCCUGGACAAAGACUGACGCUCAGGUGCGAAAGCGUGGGGAGCAAACAGGA
Molecule: unclassified non-coding RNA, 427 nt
Filed under: plant metagenome
Description: partial contains 5.8S ribosomal RNA, internal transcribed spacer 2, and large subunit ribosomal RNA
Rfam family: Bacterial small subunit ribosomal RNA
Source: RNAcentral